RNAcentral lists this ribosomal RNA (350 nucleotides) under uncultured Paenibacillaceae bacterium. Its description in RNAcentral is "bacterial SSU rRNA". It matches the Rfam family "Bacterial small subunit ribosomal RNA", at positions 790 to 1138 of the family's 1533-position model. Lineage: Bacteria; Bacillati; Bacillota; Bacilli; Caryophanales; Paenibacillaceae. The record is from RNAcentral.
GUAGUCCACGCCGUAAACGAUGAAUGCUAGGUGUUAGGGGUUUCGAUGCCCUUGGUGCCGAAGUUAACACAUUAAGCAUUCCGCCUGGGGAGUACGGUCGCAAGACUGAAACUCAAAGGAAUUGACGGGGACCCGCACAAGCAGUGGAGUAUGUGGUUUAAUUCGAAGCAACGCGAAGAACCUUACCAGGUCUUGACAUCCCUUUGAAAGCUCUAGAGAUAGAGUCGGCCUUCGGGACAGAGGAGACAGGUGGUGCAUGGUUGUCGUCAGCUCGUGUCGUGAGAUGUUGGGUUAAGUCCCGCAACGAGCGCAACCCUUGAUCUUAGUUGCCAGCAUGUAAUGGUGGGCUC